UAGGGAAUCUUCGGCAAUGGGGGCAACCCUGACCGAGCAACGCCGCGUGAGUGAAGAAGGUUUUCGGAUCGUAAAGCUCUGUUGUAAGUCAAGAACGAGUGUGAGAGUGGAAAGUUCACACUGUGACGGUAGCUUACCAGAAAGGGACGGCUAACUACGUGCCAGCAGCCGCGGUAAUACGUAGGUCCCGAGCGUUGUCCGGAUUUAUUGGGCGUAAAGCGAGCGCAGGCGGUUUGAUAAGUCUGAAGUUAAAGGCUGUGGCUCAACCAUAGUUCGCUUUGGAAACUGUCAAACUUAAGUGCAGAAGGGGAGAGUGGAAUUCCAUGUGUAGCGGUGAAAUGCGUAGAUAUAUGGAGGAACACCGGUGGCGAAAGCGGCUCUCUGGUCUGUAACUGACGCUGAGGCUCGAAAGCGUGGGGAGCGAACAGGAUUAGAUACCCUGGUAGUCCACGCCGUANCGAUGAGUGCUAGGUGUUGGAUCCUUUCCGGGAUUCANUGNCGCAGCUAANGCANUAAGCACUCCGCCUGGGGAGUACNACCGCAAGGNU
This 548-nucleotide ribosomal RNA is filed under the name uncultured bacterium. RNAcentral's name for it is "bacterial SSU rRNA". It matches the Rfam family "Bacterial small subunit ribosomal RNA", at positions 355 to 895 of the family's 1533-position model. The record is from RNAcentral.